Long non-coding RNA from Puntigrus tetrazona (Sumatra barb), 7597 nucleotides. RefSeq lists it as uncharacterized. The record is from RefSeq and is a predicted model, not a curated record. NCBI's taxonomy places the organism in Eukaryota, Metazoa, Chordata, Actinopteri, Cypriniformes, Cyprinidae. The transcript is spliced from 3 exons.
GCAGGAUAUCGAGGAUCACGUCGCCUUUGUUAUCACUGUCCCCACUGCGCUGGCUAUUUUCCUCACCAUCUUUGUUCUGGUCUGCAUCGAGUCCAUCUUCAAGAAGCUGCUACGAGUUUUCUCCUUGGUGAUCUGGGCCUGCCUGGUUGCCAUGGGUUACCUCUUUAUGUUUUUUGGAGGAAUCAUCUGUCCCUGGGAUCAGGUGUCUUUCUUCUUGUUCAUCAUCUUUGUGGUAUACACUAUGCUCCCCUUCUCUAUGAGAGAUGCCAUCAUAGCCAGCGUGCUCACUGCGUCGUCUCAUACUGUUGUCCUCAGUGUCUGCCUCUCCUCUACAGUCGACCAUGUGGAGCCCCUGGUAUGGCAGCUCCAGAUGCCAUGAUCUGUUCAUGUAAGUCCACAAAUUUUUUUUUCUUAUGUAGUAAAAUGUAGUCUGCUUGAAUUAUUGUUCUUAUUGUAAUGUCAACGGUUUAAACAACACCAUCAAAAGAACCAAGAACCGGGUUUCCGUUGCACUAAUAUAGGAGUCUCGCAUUUCGUCACGUUACUUGCAUACUUGGUACGCGGUCCAAUAUUAAAUGUGCUUUUGUUUUAAGUUUACUUCCCAACUAGCGUAAUGCUACACGUUAUCAUUUGAGGCGACAUCAAUGUUGUGCAUAAUCCCAGUUUAAAAAAAAGGUCAUAUUCUGACCUCUUGAAAGUUAUUUUAUAAAAAAAGGUCAAUGUGACAUUGCAAUUGAGGAAUGACGCUGUAAAAAGGCUACACUUUCUGCUUAGCUCACCAUAAAUCCUACUCUCGUAUUGCUUACCUGCUUAUAUCUCCAGCUUUCAUUACGUUUAUUGAAAACACUGAUAUACUACCUCCUCUUCUUUUAGACCACUCCCCAGUUACAUUGUGUCCUCUCCUAUUUUCUAAUUCUUCUGGAAGGACAAAAUGGAGGUUUGUUUUUUUUCACAACUACGUACCUCCUUAGUAGAGUUUAUCGAACAACCCUCAAGUGUUAUAGGAGGUACAUUGCUUUUUCCUCUUUUUGUCACAGGUCUAGGAAUGGCUGUAGAUUUGAACUAGAAAGUCAAGUUCAGGCAUUGGAACAAGAGCUCAAAAAUAUGUAUUAUCAACAAAAAGAACUAAGAACUAAAUGCACUAAAAUCAGAGUUAAAAGCUGUUCUUACACAGAGCUCAAUUUAUUAGGCCCCAUACAAAACUGUUUUACUACUUUAAUGAGAAGAGAUCAAGUAAAUUAUUAGCUCUAUGGAUUAAGCAAAUGGAAUCAAGAGCAAAUAUAUGCGCUAUAAAGAAGAUUAUCUUAACCAAACUAAAGAUAUAUACCAGGGGCAGUAUGUAUAACCCGUGUUUAGAGUAAAAUUUUUGUUUGUGUGUCAAAAUUCUAAGAAUGAUGUAAUUAUACUCUACUAUACUUAGACUUAAGAAUAAGAGUGAUUCGUAAACACUCCUCAGCUCCAGAAUUUAAUUUUGCACCAGAAACAGUGCACCAGCAAAAGUAAUGUUUGAUGGGGUUUUUAUGACUCCACAUUUCACAUACACCAUCAAAAUCUGAAAAACAAUUGAAGGGAAAGAAGUGUUGCCAAAUCUUUUAAGCCUAGCAUAAAAAAACAAUAUACUUAAAAUUUUUCUUCCAGUUAUAAGAAAAAUAUUCUGUUUUCUUCAGCAGUUUUCCCUCUCCAAAUUUGUUGAACAUCACAUGAGAGAAGCUAAAAGGGCCUCUGAACUGAAACUAGCUCUAGACUUCAUGCCAAAGAACAAAGCUCUUUUCAUUUUGUGAAAAUGGAACCCUUCACAGAGACCAAAACACAGGUCUUAUGCCCCUUUUACUCAAUAAGGGCAAAGACCCCCUAUUAUCAGUAUUAUCACAUUAUCAGUUUAAUAACUACAGAUACAAAACUCUUCGCUAAAACUUUAGCUCAUGGACUAACUAAUUCUACAGAUAAAGUCUGUUUUUUUCAAAGAUUGAUUUGCCUCCGAUAACAUCAGGCAACUUCUAUAUAUUAUUCAUAGGUCCAGUUCCUAUCAUUUCAUUUGACACAGAGAAGACCUUUGAUAGGAUUGAGUCGAGUUUUCUUUGGGCAGGUCUUGAGCCCGUAGGGGCUGGACAGGGAUUUAUCAAAAUCUAUCAUCUGUGUAAAUAUGUCACAUAAAAUCUAUUUUCCAAGAUUUAUAAUUCAACUACUGAAUUAUAUUUAUAAUUAUAUUAUUUACUGCAGUAUACAUAUAUUCCAGGUAUACACUCCUGGGCAAGGGACGAUCUUUCUCAGCCUGAUUGGGAUUUGGUAUGGGCCAGAUGUUUUACUGCUUCUAAAAAUCUUGCACAUCAGAUGACACAUUAUAAGUUUAUUAAUAGAGGCUAUAUCACCCCAGUGUAUUAUACAAGAUCAAGGUCAGAUCUGAUCCUUAUUGUCAUUUAUGUAAUAAAUCUAUAAUAGGCUCAAACUUGCACAUGUUCUAGGAAUGCCCAGUGAUAGUUCCUUUUUUUUAUUUGUAUGUUCUGUUCUUUUGAUUUCCUGUGUUUAGAUAUACUUUGAGAUCCACUACUUUUUCUAUUGUUAGAGUAUUCCAUUCUCCAGCUGAAUGCUCAUCAAAAAAGCACCCUAUCAGCUGCAAGUACUGCCACUAUAAAGACUGUUUUGAAGUUAUAGAUGGAACCAUCAACACCCAGAACUUUUACUUGGCUAUCUUAGUUCAGAGAAAUUGUUUUGCUGGAAAGUACCGCUGCCAGGCUAAUUUGAGCAAAGGCCAGCACUCAGAAUUGGACCAAUAUUGCAGAGAUGUUGCUAGAUAGACUGAAAAGUUGACAUUCCUACUGUGCUUAUGUGACUUUUAUUUCUUAUAUUCCUCUUCAUUCUUUUUCUCUGUAUAAGUGGACAGCUUCAUGGCAUCUGUUUGUACAUACACUAUAUUGCCAAAAGUAUUCGCCCACCUGCCUUGAACUUAAGUUACAUCCUAUUCCAAAUCCAUAGGGUUCAAUAUGACGUCGGUCCACCAUUUGCAGCUAUAACAGCUUCAACUCUUCUGGGAAGGCUGUCCACAAGGUUUAGGAGUGUGUUCAUGGGAAUUUUUGACCAUUCUUCCAGAAGCUUGUUUGUGAGGUCAAACACUGAUGUGGGACGAGAAGGCCUGGCUCUCAGUCUCUGCUCAUUCAUCCCAAUUCAUCCCAAAGGUGUUCUGUCAUGUUGAGCUCAGGACUCUUUGCAGGCCAGUCGAGUUCAUCCACACCAGACUCUGUCAUCCAUGUCUUUAUGGACAGUCAUGUUGGAAGAGGAAGGGUCCAGCUCCACAUUGUUUUCACAAAGUUGGGAGCAUGGAAUUGUCCAAAAUGUCUUGGUAUGCUAAAGCAUUCAGAGUUCCUUUUACUGGAACUAAGGGUCCAAGCCCAGCUCCUGAAAAACAACCCCACACCAUAAUCACCCCUCUACCAAACUUUACACUUGGCACAAUGCAGUCAGACAAGUACCAUUCUCCUGGCAACCGCCAAACCCAGACUCAUCUAUCAGAUUGCUAGAUGGAAAAAUGCAAUUCGUCACUCCAGAGAACUUUUCUCCAUUUCUCCAUUGAGUCUAGUGGCGGUGUGCUUUACACCACUGCAUUCAACACUUUGUAUUGCACUUGGUGAUGUAUGGCUUGAAUGCAACUGCUCAGCCAUGGAAACCCAUUCCAUGAAGCUCUCUCUCUCCCAUUCCAUGAAGCUCUCACUCCGUCAGUUUACGUUGACUUCCACUUUUUGGCUGAGUUGCUGUCAUUCCCAAAUGCUUCCACGUUCUUAUAAUACAGCCCAACAGUUGACUAUGGAAUAUUUAGGAGCAAAGAAAUUUGAUGACUGGAUUUGUUGCACAGGUGGCAUCCUAUAACAGUUCCACGCUGGAAUUCAAUAAGCUCCUGAGAGCGUCCCCGAAUGUUUGUAAAAACAGUCUGCAUGCCUAGGUGCUUGAUUUUAUACACCUGUGGCCAUGGAAGUGAUUGGAACACCUGAUUCCAAAUAUUUGGAUGGGUGAGUGAAUACUUUUGGCAAUAUAGUGUAGUUGUUUUGAAUUGUGAUUGGUGAAGUGAAACAAAAAUCUGAUGAUAUGAAAUAUAUAUUAAUAUAAAUAUACAUAUAACUUACAAUAUAUCUGUAAAUAGUAAAUAAUGUUCUUUAUUUUUUCAUAUUCCAUAAAUCAAAAGUUGUGUUACCCAUGGUAUCAGAUUUUAUUAUCAGAUUGCUUGUUUAGAAAAUACAAGAAGCUAACUUGCUUCCAUCUUAGUUACAAUGAAUGUGUAAACAAGCAAAUAUGACCUUUCAGUAAAAAACAAUUUCUGUAAAUGGCUUACAGUGAUAGCAUGCAUUUUAAAUUCUGUUUAAAAGGUCAAACUUUAUAUUACCAGUAACUCUUAAUAUAAUUAUAAAAAGUCAAAGAAUGUUUGUUUUUCAGUGUCCAUUUCUUGCAUUCAGUGCCAAUGUCCCUUAUUGCCUUAAAUUAUUAAAAAGGAGCCAUACACAGAUGCUUUCGCAAAUGCCAAAUGCUGUUUCUACUUCUUAUUUCUUAUACUGUCUCGAUUUUUUUAACUUCCUUUCAUGCUAUGCCUUUUGGUCCUGGGUAGAGAGUGUCUUGAAAGCUGUGUAUUCUCUAACAUCUGAAAUGCCUCAGGCACAGGACUAAGAAGCAUUUUGGCAAACUGUAGUUUUGCAGUGCAAUGAGAAAAAACAUGACGAUGGAUUGUGGAAAUUAAAGUAAUAUAUUUCCUACAUGUAAAUUAUUAUUACUGAGUAAAAAGUGUUUUGAAAAGAAUGUUUACAGUGAUAGGAUGAAUUAAUUGUAUUUUAAAUUGUUCUCUGAUAUCUACACAGAAGGUAUGCAGUUUAGGAAAGGCCAACAAAAAUCCCCAGAAACUAUUUUACAUGUCCCUUUACAACCCGAAUAUUUGUCUCUACAAUGAAAUUGUCUUUACCUUAUUUGGAAGGGUCAUGAAUAAUAAUGUUGAGCUCCGCUCUGAUUGGCUGUUUCACAGUGCAGCCAAUUUCAAUAGCUCACAGCAGGUAGGAGACACGGGAAGGAAAAUAUAUAGUUCAAUACUUUCUCUUGCAGUUAACACGUUAUUUGCCUUCUGUGCCUUUCUGAAUACAGACACCAACCCACCCCUUCACAGCCUGGCCUUGAACAUGGUUGGGUAUAUUUUAUGCAAAUGUUGGGGACUUAAUGAUCUAUAACGUCACAGUCGGUGUUAUGUUCUGAUUCGCCUGUUUUUCAGUGGUCUUUUUUAUGCAGGAGAUUUUACAUCAGAAGGAAGAAACAAUGGUGUUUGAGUUUUGCUGUAUGUCAUUUCCAUUUACAGAACUGUUAUUAUUUAACUAUGCCAAGGUGAAUGCAGUUUUCCAUUUUAUGACACCUUUAAUAAUUGUUAUGUUAAUGUAAACAAUAUUAGGUUUUCAUAGUCUAAGUUUAAUGUGAUUGCAUUCACAACGGACAAGGAUCACUGAUUUCUGAAACUGAAAAAAAUGCAUGACUCUGUCCUGCUCGGUGUGGUGUAGCAUACUAACUGUGAAAGAACAGAUUUUUGCCCCUUUGGGCGCCAGGGUGGAAAAGCUCUUACACAGAACUGCUAGAAUCUCUGCAGCAUGAUAUUUCAGCUCUUUCAGUCAGAAUCUCAACUGUACCCAAAGCAAUUUUUUGGUAGAACUGCAAAUUGCAAGAGCAAAGUGUCACUUAUCUUAUCUUAUGCUGGAUUUGUUUGGGACAGUUCACAAUAUACUGAUUACAUAAAUUUAUAAUUCCUUUCUCAGCUCUUAGACAUAUCGGGCAAUAUUUAGAUUUUUAGGGAAGCACAUGCUUUAGGAUGAGCUUUUGGGGCAUAGGAAAAAAUGUGUCCUUUCAAAAUAGACUUAAUUAUGAUGUCUCUGUCAUAACUCAUAAAUAACAGCAAACUUCAUUUUUGGCUUAACACAGUUGCAUGGUUGGCGUCCACAUAUGUGAUAAAAAUAUCAAUGAUUAUUAUUCAUUUCUUCAAUGAUUAUGUCUAAUGUCAUUUUACUGGUGAAAACUUUAAAUGCGAGUAAACACUAGCUAACUAAAUCACACAGGAUGACCUGUUAUUUGUGUCACUAUGUUUUGCAUGUAUUAAACUUAUGAUGAUUUUUUGCAAAACAGAAUACAAGUCAUUAUUUUGUGAGUAUUAUUUGGAGAAUAGAGAAACUUCUGUUGUUGUCUUUUUUUUAUGUAUCUCACUGUUAAUUGGAAAUUUCUGCCUGUUAUUUGUCAAAAUUCACAUGCCUAAAGGCCACACGACUAACCUUUUAAUGCUCUGAACGUUUAAUACCGGGAGAUUUAAAAAGUCUGAAUCAGAUACAGGCAUAAUGCCUGAAUAGAUGUUUCUGUAACCUCUUAACCUUUUUUCAAAUCCGAUAUGUUUCUAAAAACCUUUUAUUUUGUUGGAUGCCUUAAGGUGCUAAAUUAGAAUUACAUUUUUGUCUGUAUUGUGUUAGCUGUGAUAGUGUUCUGCUCCAGUGAUGUUCAGGGUGAGUUGAAUUGGAUCUGAUCUUGGUGUCACUGGCAGGUUAAAUUUCAUUAUGGUUUACGGUUUCCCUGAGGGGCACUCAGCAAAUAACAAUUCAUGCACUUUAGUGUGUAAUGAUGAUGGUAGAGCCACAGGUUCAACUGGGUGUUGAAUGGGAGGACAGAAAUCCAAUGCAAAAGAUGAAUGGGUUGAUGCUAUUCUAACUGAAUGUAUUCUAUAGAAUGCCAAUUUCAUUUAAAUGCAAAUAAUCUGUUAACCCUUUCGAUUUCUCUUUUUUGCUUUUGAGUUACACACAGAUAUACAAACAUUCUCAGAUUUUAAAUACACAUUUUAUAAUUAAGUUGAACAAUAAAUUGUAGGCAAAAAAUUUAUGAACUGAACUUAAAUUAUCCACAAGUGCAACACAGUGCUAAACCAGGUGAACUACCGUAUGGUACUUUCUUUAUACUCAUCAUUAUGUAAUCAUAAUUUGAAUGAAAAUGUAUUGGUUUAGAAAUAAUACAGAUAUUUAUGAAACGUUUAUACAGUAUAUAUAAUGCAUGACUAAAUUAUGUAUUAUCUAGACAUUUAUCAACAGCUAAGAGUGUCAAAACAUUUGGAAAACUUGUACCGUUACAUUGCGCAGGCAUCUAAAUAUUUCUAUAUGAAGUUACUUAGUUACAUUUUAUUUUGAUGUUAAGUAAAUCUCAUGAAUCUGUAACUACAUGUCUACAAACUCACAGAGUAGACUGUUAGGGUAGGUUUAGGAUUAGUAAAUUGGCAUAUACUUGUAACGUUUCUGAUAGUCAGUAUGUUAUAUGUGUUACGGGUGUGUGCCUCUAGAAUAAAUGAACUAAAAAAUAUAUAUAAAACUUGACACAUAUUAGCAACAUAUUAGCAACAUAUUAGCAACAUCCUGUGAAACAAUAUAACAUUAACGUACGACAAACAGAACUAAACAGUACAGGCUUUUAACAGUGACACAAUCAGGGAGAACUCAGAACAGCCAGGGAGUAAUCAAACAAUCAACCAUAAACAAGAAGAGAUAAAUGUCCAAAUAAGGGCACACAGGAAAGCAGGGCAAAAAAAACCCAAAAAGUAAACCUUAAAUAUCUA